AUUGAACGCUGGCGGCAUGCCUAACACAUGCAAGUCGAACGAGGGGCGGACGGGUGAGUAGUGUCUGGAAAGCUGCCCAAUGCGGGGGGUUAACUACUGGAAACAGUAGCUAAUACCGCAUACCUUCGGAUGUGCACAGAUGUGAGUAGCUAGUAGGGGGGGUAACGGCUCACAUAGGCGACGAGCCCUAGCUGGUAAGAGAGGCUGACGAGCCAACCGGGAAUGAGGACAGGGGCCGGACUCCUCCGGGAGGCAGCAGUGGGGAAUAUUGGACAAUGGGCGCAAGCCUGAUGCAGCCAUGCCGCGUGUAUGAGGAGGGCCUUCGGGUUGUAAAGUACUUUCAGCGAGGAGGCGGUACCCGCAGAAGAAGCGCCGGCUAACUCCGUGCCAGCAGCCGCGGUAAUAC
This 406-nucleotide ribosomal RNA is filed under the name uncultured bacterium. RNAcentral's name for it is "partial 16S ribosomal RNA". It matches the Rfam family "Bacterial small subunit ribosomal RNA", at positions 29 to 526 of the family's 1533-position model. The record is from RNAcentral.